This 491-nucleotide ribosomal RNA is filed under the name uncultured bacterium. Its description in RNAcentral is "partial 16S ribosomal RNA". It matches the Rfam family "Bacterial small subunit ribosomal RNA", at positions 29 to 507 of the family's 1533-position model. The record is from RNAcentral.
GUGAACGCUGGCGGUAGGCCUAACACAUGCAAGUCGCACGGCAGCACAGUAAGAGCUUGCUCUUACGGGUGGCGAGUGGCGGACGGGUGAGGAAUACAUCGGAAUCUACUUUUUCGUGGGGGAUAACGUAGGGAAACUUACGCUAAUACCGCAUACGACCUACGGGUGAAAGCAGGGGAUCUUCGGACCUUGCGCGAUUGAAUGAGCCGAUGUCGGAUUAGCUAGUUGGCGGGGUAAAGGCCCACCAAGGCGACGAUCCGUAGCUGGUCUGAGAGGAUGAUCAGCCACACUGGAACUGAGACACGGUCCAGACUCCUACGGGAGGCAGCAGUGGGGAAUAUAGGACAAUGGGCGCAAGCCUGAUCCAGCCAUACCGCGUGGGUGAAGAAGGCCUUCGGGUUGUAAAGCCCUUUUGUUGGGAAAGAAAAGCAGCAGGUUAAUACCCCGCUGUUCUGACGGUACCCAAAGAAUAAGCACCGGCUAACUUCGUG